UCAAAGGGAAAGGAAUAUUGAAGACUGGGCAUGGAUAAACGUUAAGAGCAAUAUUCUAAUGGU
This 63-nucleotide small RNA is filed under the name Arabidopsis thaliana (thale cress). RNAcentral's name for it is "ATSL155400". Lineage: Eukaryota; Viridiplantae; Streptophyta; Magnoliopsida; Brassicales; Brassicaceae. The record is from RNAcentral.